CUAAUCGCACAGCAACAUAAUUAAUUCUUAAUUCUACAUGCAAUAAAAACGGUUUAAAUGAUAAGGUAUUGUAUAUAUAUAAUGCAUGUCAUUAUACUGAACACUUAAUUCAGUUAAUUUGAUCAAAACAUUCACAAUGAAGUUCUUCUACGUUCUUGCCGUCAUAAUACUUGGACUCCUGACCAUCAGCUCAGCCCAGUUUUGCCCCGCCCUGUGGGACCCAGUCUGUGCUACCAAUGGCAAAACUUACUCGAACUUAUGCGUGCUACAGGUAGCCGGUGCAGAAUUCGCAUACAAAGGUGAAUGCGGUGCAAAUGUAUAGUCAUUUUAUUAAUUAAAAAAAAUAAAAACAUGAAGCCAUAAUGAAA
Molecule: long non-coding RNA, 368 nt
Organism: Amyelois transitella
Lineage: Eukaryota; Metazoa; Arthropoda; Insecta; Lepidoptera; Pyralidae
Exons: 3
Source: RefSeq, a predicted model, not a curated record